This 253-nucleotide ribosomal RNA is filed under the name uncultured bacterium. Its description in RNAcentral is "partial 16S ribosomal RNA". It matches the Rfam family "Bacterial small subunit ribosomal RNA", at positions 524 to 776 of the family's 1533-position model. The record is from RNAcentral.
UACGUAGGCAGCGAGCGUUGUUCGGAGUUACUGGGCGUAAAGAGUGCGUAGGCGGUUUUCUAAGUUUGGUGUGAAAUCUCCCGGCUCAACUGGGAGGGUGCGCCGAAGACUGGAAGGCUUGAGUAUGGGAGAGGUAAGCGGAAUCCCUGGUGUAGCGGUGAAAUGCGUAGAUAUCAGGAGGAACACCUGCGGUGUAGACGGCUUACUGGACCAUAACUGACGCUGAGGCACGAAAGCGUGGGUAGCAAACAGG